GGCCCGUUCGUCUAUCGGUUAGGACGCAUGGUUUUCAUCCAUGUAAGAGCGGUUCGAUUCCGCUACGGGCUACAA
This 75-nucleotide transfer RNA is filed under the name Flavobacterium sp. RNAcentral's name for it is "tRNA-Glu". It matches the Rfam family "tRNA". Rfam says of the family: Transfer RNA (tRNA) molecules are approximately 80 nucleotides in length. Their secondary structure includes four short double-helical elements and three loops (D, anti-codon, and T loops). The record is from RNAcentral. RNAcentral also lists the same sequence under 62 other names. Lineage: Bacteria; Pseudomonadati; Bacteroidota; Flavobacteriia; Flavobacteriales; Flavobacteriaceae.